UACGUAGGGGGCAAGCGUUGUCCGGAAUCAUUGGGCGUAAAGCGCGUGUAGGCGGUUCAGUAAGUCUGCUGUGAAAGUCCAGGGCUCAACCCUGGGAUGCCGGUGGAUACUGCUGGGCUAGAGUACGGAAGAGGCGAGUGGAAUUCCUGGUGUAGCGGUGAAAUGCGCAGAUAUCAGGAGGAACACCGAUUGCGAAGGCAGCUCGCUGGGACGUUACUGACGCUGAGACGCGAAAGCGUGGGGAGCAAACAGG
RNAcentral lists this ribosomal RNA (253 nucleotides) under uncultured bacterium. RNAcentral's name for it is "partial 16S ribosomal RNA". It matches the Rfam family "Bacterial small subunit ribosomal RNA", at positions 524 to 776 of the family's 1533-position model. The record is from RNAcentral.